RNAcentral lists this long non-coding RNA (517 nucleotides) under Nicotiana tabacum (common tobacco). Its description in RNAcentral is "long non-coding RNA (NTAB_LNC007769)". Lineage: Eukaryota; Viridiplantae; Streptophyta; Magnoliopsida; Solanales; Solanaceae. The record is from RNAcentral.
AAGCUUAUAUGACAAAGACACAUUUCAGAACUUAACACACAAACAUUGUGACAAGUCAAGAAAUGAAGAAUAUUUCUGCUUUCUACAUUCUCGUUAUUUUUCUUAUUUUAUCAAUGGAUACAUUGUGUGUAGAAAGCGAAUCUAGGAUCUUAAACAUAUCCCCUUUUAAAUUCAAAGAGAUGAGUUUUAUCAGAGGUCGCAGAAACAGGCAGAUUCUCGUCAAACCCAAUCCUUCGCCAGCCGCAAAUCCUUCUGGUCGUUUUUACGGACCUAAGAGACUUUAACUGACUUUUUUCUGUCUUUUUUAACUGUUUUCUGAAAGAUUUCUUACAGUAAUUUUUCUUGUUGCACGCAGAGUCUAUAGUCCACCACCGAUGAGCAAGAAAUAAGGAAACUCUCGAUGAUGGAGACAAAUCUAGAAAUAUUUGUUAUAAUUUUAUUAAAUUUCACAUAUAAAUUUAUACUUUUUUGAUUUCCACUCGACCAAGAUGUAUUUAGGCAACUUUUUGGAGGCGCA